GGGUAGGUAGCUCAGUCGGUACGAGCGUCCGCCUGAAAAGCGGAAGGUCGGCGGUUCGACCCCGCCCCUGCCCA
RNAcentral lists this transfer RNA (74 nucleotides) under Actinomadura rupiterrae. Its description in RNAcentral is "tRNA-Phe". It matches the Rfam family "tRNA". Rfam says of the family: Transfer RNA (tRNA) molecules are approximately 80 nucleotides in length. Their secondary structure includes four short double-helical elements and three loops (D, anti-codon, and T loops). Lineage: Bacteria; Bacillati; Actinomycetota; Actinomycetes; Streptosporangiales; Thermomonosporaceae. RNAcentral also lists the same sequence under 4 other names. The record is from RNAcentral.